AGGGAGCAAGCUUUAGGAUUAAGCAAAAUCAAAAUUCUCUCUCUCCUCUCAUACCUCACGCCCCUUACCUCUCUCGCAUCUCUCUCUCUUUUCUCUUCCAUGAACCUCCAUUGUUGAGACCUUCAAAGCUUCUAAGAACAACUCUAUACUUAGAUUUCCACCUAAAAUCAAAUCAAAACUCAUCUACAUGCCUCAAAGACCAAGAUUGGCAGAGAUUAAAGCUUGAAGUCUAGAGUAAAGAAUUUUCAUUUUCUCUCUAAAUUUUUGAAGUUGUGAGAAUCAUCUCGUGUGGAGCUUGAAAGACCAUAACUGACCUGUGAGCAUCAUCUCAUGUGGAGCUUGAAAGACCAUAACUGACUUGUGAGCAUCAUCUCGUGUGGAGCUUGAAAGAUCAUAACUGAUUUGUGCGCCAGAACAGAGCCAAGCUCGCGCCAGAACUGAAUGCCAGAGCAGAGCAUAACGGAAUGCCAGAGCAGAGCAAAACACAUUGCCAGAGCAGAGCAAACUAAGUCCAGAGCAGAGCAUGUUUUCCAGAGCUGGCGUCCUAGAGCAGAACAGAGCCAAGCUCGCGCCAGAACAGAAUGCUAGAGCAGAGCAGAAUAGAAUGCCAGAGCAUAGCAGAAUGGAAUGCCAGAGCAGAGCAGAGCAGAACAUAUUACCAGAGCAGAGCAAACUUCCAGAGCCAAAUUCGCGCCAGAACAUAAUGCCAGAGCAGAGCAGAACAAAUUGUCAUAGCAGAGCAAACUUCAAGAGCCAAGUUCGCACCAGAACUAAAUGCCAGAGUAGAGCAGAAUAGAAUGCCAGAGCAGAGCAAACAUCCAUAGCAAAACAGAGCAUGUUUUCCAGAGCUGGCGUCCAGAGCAGAACAGAGCCAAGCUUGCGCCAGAACUGAAUGCCAGAGCAAAGCAGAAUAGAAUGCCAGAGCAGAGCAGAAUCCAAUGCCAAAGCAGAGCCAAAGCAAAGCAAAUUCCAGAGCCAGAGGAGAGCAAACUUUCAGAGCUGAAAGUCUAGAGCAGAGCAGAGAUGUUUUCCAGAGCUGGCGUUCAGAGGAGAACAGAGCCAAGCUUGCGCCAGAACAGAAUGCCAGGGCAGAGCAGAAUAAAAUGCCAGAGUAGAGCAGAACGGAAUGCUAGAGCAGAGCAAAACAUAGUGCCAGAGCAGAUCAUAACAGAUUGCCAGAGCUGAGCAGAAUUCCAGAGCCAAAGCAGAGCAUGUUUUCCAGAGCUGGCGUCUGGUAAGCUAAGUUCCAGAGCUGACUGAAGUCCAGAGUAGAGCUAAGUUCCAGAGUUAUCAAAACUUGCCGAACAAGUUUCUUUUAAGUUUCCUUGUUUUUAAGUUUCCUUUGUUUUAAGUUGUUUCUUUAAUUAGAAUUAGGUUUAGUUUUUGCCUGCUGCAUGUCAACGAAUUAAUUAACCUUUGAUUUAUAAAAUUUGUGAGUUUUAUUCUCUCUUGA
Salvia miltiorrhiza (redroot sage) is the source of this 1453-nucleotide long non-coding RNA. RefSeq lists it as uncharacterized. The transcript is spliced from 2 exons. Lineage: Eukaryota; Viridiplantae; Streptophyta; Magnoliopsida; Lamiales; Lamiaceae. The record is from RefSeq and is a predicted model, not a curated record.